UAGGGAAUCUUCCGCAAUGGACGCAAGCCUGACGGAGCAACGCCGCGUGAGUGAAGAAGGAUUUCGGUUCGUAAAACUCUGUUGUUAGAGAAGAACAGCGCAUAGAGUAACUGUUAUGCGUGUGACGGUAUCUAACCAGAAAGCCACGGCUAACUACGUGCCAGCAGCCGCGGUAAUACGUAGGUGGCGAGCGUUGUCCGGAUUUAUUGGGCGUAAAGCGAGCGCAGGCGGUCAAUUAAGUCUGAUGUGAAAGCCCCCGGCUCAACCGGGGAGGGUCAUUGGAAACUGGUUGACUUGAGUGCAGAAGAGGAGAGUGGAAUUCCAAGUGUAGCGGUGAAAUUCGUAGAUAUAUGGAGGAACACCAGUGGCGAAGGCGACUCUCUGGUCUGUAACUGACGCUGAGGCUCGAAAGCGUGGGUAGCAAACAGG
This 429-nucleotide ribosomal RNA is filed under the name Bacteroidota bacterium. Its description in RNAcentral is "Bacteroidetes bacterium partial 16S ribosomal RNA". It matches the Rfam family "Bacterial small subunit ribosomal RNA", at positions 355 to 776 of the family's 1533-position model. The record is from RNAcentral. Lineage: Bacteria; Pseudomonadati; Bacteroidota.